Molecule: small RNA, 28 nt
Filed under: Arabidopsis thaliana (thale cress)
Lineage: Eukaryota; Viridiplantae; Streptophyta; Magnoliopsida; Brassicales; Brassicaceae
Description: ATSL252930
Source: RNAcentral
UUGACAGAAGAUAGAGAGGUAGAACAUC